GCUGAGGCCGGCGGAUGUUCAUGCUUUUCUGCAGCAUUUGGUGACAUUUGGGGUUGUGGCGAAGGAGGAUAAGGAGUUGUAUCGGAAGCUGGUGCUGAGUAUUGCUUGGAGGAGGCAGAUGCCGAAGCUUGCGGUGGCUUUGGGGCUUGAAGAUACAAUGAUGGGCAUGAUUGAGGAGCUGAUUAGUAAGGGACAACAACUUGAUGCUAUAAAUUUUGCAUAUGAGGCUGGCCUUGAGGAAAAAU
RNAcentral lists this unclassified non-coding RNA (245 nucleotides) under Hevea brasiliensis (rubber tree). Lineage: Eukaryota; Viridiplantae; Streptophyta; Magnoliopsida; Malpighiales; Euphorbiaceae. The record is from RNAcentral.